RNAcentral lists this ribosomal RNA (407 nucleotides) under uncultured bacterium. RNAcentral's name for it is "partial 16S ribosomal RNA". It matches the Rfam family "Bacterial small subunit ribosomal RNA", at positions 30 to 526 of the family's 1533-position model. The record is from RNAcentral.
AUUGAACGCUGGCGGCAGGCCUAACACAUGCAAGUCGAGCGGUGCGGCGGACGGUGGAGUAAUGACUAGGAAUGUGCCUGGUAGUGGGGGAUAACGUCCGGAAACGGGCGCUAAUACCGCAUACUAUGCGUUGAGCCUAAGUGGGAUUAGCUAGUUGGUGGGGUAAGGGCCUACCAAGGCGACGCACCGUAACUGGUCUGAGAGGAUGAUCAGGCACACUGGAACUGAGACACGGUCCAGACUCCUACGGGAGGCAGCAGUGGGGAAUAUUGGACAAUGGGCGAAAGCCUGAUCCAGCCAUGCCGCGUGUGUGAAGAAGGUCUUCGGAUUUUAAAGCAAUUUAAGUUGGGAGGCGUUACCAACAGAAUAAGCACCGGCUAACUUCGUGCCAGCAGCCGCGGUAAUUC